This 445-nucleotide ribosomal RNA is filed under the name uncultured bacterium. Its description in RNAcentral is "bacterial SSU rRNA". It matches the Rfam family "Bacterial small subunit ribosomal RNA", at positions 354 to 796 of the family's 1533-position model. The record is from RNAcentral.
GUCGAGGAUCUUUAGCAAUGGGCGAAAGCCUGACUAUGCGACGCCGCGUGAGGGAUGAAGGUUUUCGGAUCGUAAACCUCUUUCGAUAGGGAAGAAACCCCUGAUUAAUACUCAGGGCUGACGGUACCUAGAGAAGAAGCCACGGCCAACUCCGUGCCAGCAGCCGCGGUAAUACGGGGGUGGCGAGCGUUACUCGGAUUUAUUGGGUGUAAAGGGCAGGUAGGCGUCCCGAAAAGUUUCAGGUGAAAUCCUUUCGCUUAACGAAAGAACUGCCUGAAAAACUAUCGGGAUUGAGUCUGGAAGAGGAGAGCGGAAUUCCCGGUGUAAGGGUGAAAUCUGUAGAUAUCGGGAGGAACACCAGUGGCGAAAGCGGCUCUCUGGUCCAGAUCUGACGCUAAGCUGCGAAAGCUAGGGGAGCAAACAGGAUUAGAAACCCCGGUAGUCC